CCUACGGGGGGCAGCAGUCGAGAAUCAUUCACAAUGGGGGAAACCCUGAUGGUGCGACGCCGCGUGGGGGAAUGAAGGUCUUUGGAUUGUAAACUCCUGUCAUGUGGGCGCAAAUUAAAAAGAUAGUACCAUAAGAGGAAGAGACUGCUAACUCUGUGCCAGCAGCCGCGGUAAUACAUAGGUCUUAAGCGUUGCUCGGAAUCACUGGGCGGAAGGCGUGGGUAGGCUGUUUCGUAAGGCUGUUGUGAAAGGCGCGGGAUCAACCCGAGAACUGCACAGGAUACUGGCAGACUAGAGUAAUGGAGGGGGAACCGGAAUUCUUGGUGUAGCAGUGAAAUGCGUAGAUA
This 347-nucleotide ribosomal RNA is filed under the name uncultured bacterium. RNAcentral's name for it is "partial 16S ribosomal RNA". It matches the Rfam family "Bacterial small subunit ribosomal RNA", at positions 338 to 696 of the family's 1533-position model. The record is from RNAcentral.